Molecule: ribosomal RNA, 253 nt
Filed under: uncultured bacterium
Lineage: Bacteria
Description: partial 16S ribosomal RNA
Rfam family: Bacterial small subunit ribosomal RNA
Source: RNAcentral
UACGGGGGGGGCAAGCGUUGUUCGGAAUUACUGGGCGUAAAGGGCGCGUAGGCGGCCUGCUAAGUCGGAUGUGAAAUCCCUCGGCUCAACCGAGGAACUGCAUCCGAUACUGGCGGGCUUGAAUCCGGGAGAGGGAUGUGGAAUUCCAGGUUUAGCGGUGAAAUGCGUAGAUAUCUGGAGGAACACCGGUGGCGAAGGCGGCAUCCUGGACCGGUAUUGACGCUGAGGCGCGAAAGCUAGGGGAGCAAACGGG